Molecule: long non-coding RNA, 368 nt
Organism: Sapajus apella (tufted capuchin)
Lineage: Eukaryota; Metazoa; Chordata; Mammalia; Primates; Cebidae
Exons: 3
Source: RefSeq, a predicted model, not a curated record
UGGCCAGGCUGAGUGUUUCAGCUGCUACCGGUUUCACAUGGCUGUGGUGGAUCCAGGCUGGGAUUCCCUCUACCUUUACAGCUGUGGGGGUGGUGAGGAUCAUGGUCUGGGGUCCGUUCCACCAUGGCUUCAGAGGGGCUGCACUCCAAUCCUUUAUCCACACAUGAUCACCUGGUGAGAAAGGGUGAACUGGGGGGAAUAAGCUUACAGGACAUCUGUCAUUUACCCAGGUUGAAAUAUCCCGAGUGAUUUUCCCUAGAGCUUGUAACUGGCAUCCUAACUCAAAUCUCUCCCCACUCCCGAGGAGUUCCAGGGAGUGCCCGGAGUAUGGGAGGGGACCUACGAUAUGAAAGGGGGAAUAUCCUGAU